AUUGAACGCUGGCGGCAGGCCUAACACAUGCAAGUCGAACGAGAGGCGGACGGGUGAGUAAUGUCUGGGACACUGCCUGAUGGAGGGGGUUAACUACUGGAAACGGUAGCUAAUACCGCAUAGCAUCAGCUGGGCCGAGAUGGGAUUAGCUAGUGGGUGGGGUAACGGCUCACCAAGGCGACGAUCCCUAGCUGGUCUGAGAGGAUGAUCAGCCACACGGGAACUGAGACACGGUCCAGACUCCUACGGGAGGCAGCAGUGGGGAAUAUUGCACAAUGGGCGAAAGCCUGAUACAGCCAUGCCGCGUGUAUGAAGAAGGCCUUCGGGUUGUAAAGUACUUUCAGCGGGGAGGCGUUACCCGCAGAAGAAGCACCGGCUAACUCCGUGCCAGCAGCCGCGGUAAUAC
RNAcentral lists this ribosomal RNA (406 nucleotides) under uncultured bacterium. RNAcentral's name for it is "partial 16S ribosomal RNA". It matches the Rfam family "Bacterial small subunit ribosomal RNA", at positions 30 to 526 of the family's 1533-position model. The record is from RNAcentral.